UCAUGGGUUCGACGACGUAAAACUCAUCGAAAAUAAACCUUACAAGCAUAUAUUUGGGGGCUGUCCCUGACAAUGGUGUGCAUGCUCACCUCGUAGUGAGAAGCCUAAAGUUGUUACCAUGGCCACCCACCUUGCAAUCAGAGGUUUAGUUUCAGAGUUGUCCUCGAGCCUUUUUU
Molecule: non-coding RNA, 176 nt
Filed under: Bdellovibrio sp.
Lineage: Bacteria; Pseudomonadati; Bdellovibrionota; Bdellovibrionia; Bdellovibrionales; Pseudobdellovibrionaceae
Description: 6S / SsrS RNA
Rfam family: 6S / SsrS RNA
About the family: E. coli 6S RNA was the first non coding RNA to be sequenced, but its function was unknown until recently.
Source: Rfam by way of RNAcentral